RNAcentral lists this ribosomal RNA (377 nucleotides) under uncultured bacterium. RNAcentral describes it as "bacterial SSU rRNA". It matches the Rfam family "Bacterial small subunit ribosomal RNA", at positions 523 to 898 of the family's 1533-position model. The record is from RNAcentral.
AUACGUAGGUGGCGAGCGUUGUCCGGAAUUACUGGGUGUAAAGGGCGUGUAGGCGGGGAGGCAAGUCAGAUGUGAAAUUCCAGGGCUCAACCCUGGCGCUGCAUCUGAAACUGUUUCUCUUGAGUACCGGAGAGGAAAGUGGAAUUCCUAGUGUAGCGGUGAAAUGCGUAGAGAUUAGGAGGAGCACCAGUGGCGAAGGCGGCUUUCUGGACGGUAACUGACGCUGAGGCGCGAAAGCGUGGGGAGCGAACAGGAUUAGAUACCCUGGGAGUCCACGCCGUAAACGAUGGAUACUAGGUGUAGGAGGUAUCGACCCCUUCUGUGCCGGAGUUAACACAAUAAGUAUCCCACCUGGGGAGUACGACCGCAAGGUUGAA